This is a long non-coding RNA of Carassius gibelio (silver crucian carp), 644 nucleotides long. RefSeq lists it as uncharacterized. Lineage: Eukaryota; Metazoa; Chordata; Actinopteri; Cypriniformes; Cyprinidae. The transcript has 3 exons. The record is from RefSeq and is a predicted model, not a curated record.
AAAGUAUGUAAAGGUUUGUAGGUAAGCUCUUCCUCCUUUCCUUUAGAGUUUACCAGCAACAGUCUGUCUGUAAUAACAUUGUUGACUUUCAUUUUGAUUUAAUGUUUUUUUUUUUUUUAAAGUGUUCCAGUGAUGCUAAUUAUGUAAGUACUUUUUGCUGAGGAUUUAGGUCUGUACAUACAGAUUUUUUAUUCAUUUCUGCAAUGGGUGAAAUGGCUAAAUAAAAACUUAAACAAGUUUUAAAGAUUUGAUUUGAAAAUAAUGUAUAUUAUAAAUCUCUUUUUAUGUGAUCACAACCACAGGUGGAGUUAGCACAUGGCACGGGCAUAAAAAUCCUCAAGCAUCAAUGGACUUCUGCCCUGCAGGCCCAAACAGCCACUUCAAUGGUGCGUGUUCUUUUAAUGGCCGCCUUCCCACUAGAAGUUCUGAUCCACAGCAAUUUGAAAGGGGGAAAGAGUAAAACUGAUGGUAGUGCAGAGAGAAGACAUGCCCUUGACAAGGAAACCAUGGGAGCCAUAUUUGUGGCAGUCAAGAAGAGGUUUCCCAAUGUGUCCAGAGGAGCUUUGGGUAUUGCAGUGAAUUCCAAGCUGGGGGAACUGAGACUGCUUGAAAAAAAAAGGAGCUAAUUUUGUUAUUGUUUUUUU